This 154-nucleotide ribosomal RNA is filed under the name Ascomycota sp. P20. RNAcentral's name for it is "5.8S ribosomal RNA". It matches the Rfam family "5.8S ribosomal RNA". Rfam says of the family: 5.8S ribosomal RNA (5.8S rRNA) is a component of the large subunit of the eukaryotic ribosome. It is transcribed by RNA polymerase I as part of the 45S precursor that also contains 18S and 28S rRNA. The record is from RNAcentral. Lineage: Eukaryota; Fungi; Ascomycota.
AACUUUCAACAAUGGAUCUCUUGGUUCCGGCAUCGAUGAAGAACGCAGCGAAAUGCGAUAAGUAAUGCGAAUUGCAGAAUUCCGUGAGUCAUCGAAUCUUUGAACGCACAUUGCGCCCCCCGGCUGCCCGGGGGGCAUGCCUGUCCGAGCGUCA